Symphalangus syndactylus (siamang) is the source of this 1343-nucleotide long non-coding RNA. RefSeq lists it as uncharacterized. The record is from RefSeq and is a predicted model, not a curated record. NCBI's taxonomy places the organism in Eukaryota, Metazoa, Chordata, Mammalia, Primates, Hylobatidae.
CCAUUCGCAGAAGGGGGAAACCUGCGCAGCCCUGUGGGAAAUUGAGCGAGGCUUCAGCCCACGCUACCGGAAAGCAAGCCCGCGAUCCUGACACUGUCGUAAACGACGAAACCAGUUUCCGUGACGGGAGUGGGCGUGACGCAGUUUGUUUCCUAGACCGCCUUCCGCCUAAAUCUAUUCUAUCUGCAGACCAACUCAGUCCGAAAAGCGAUUUCGAGGGUUUGACUCUGGAUGGCACCCGGAUAAAGCCGCCAGAGGGCAGCCCACCCGCACAAAUGCACCGGCUUGAGGGCGUCUCUCAACCUCCCCACCCGCGGGGCUGGCCAGCCUCACAGCAGAAGCCACCUCGUCUCUUACUCGGGCGUUCUUUUUGACUGACCCUGGGCGAUGUCUGCUGUUAGAGGGAUGAACAAAAUGCUUUUCCAAGCUCCCUCUAGUAUUGAAUUCCCCAGAGAAGAGAUCAAGACAUAAGAGACGCAUGGACUUAACUUCCUCCACCUCUAGCUACUAGGGAGUUUGUUAUAACCAUAUAGGAUUCUUUUUUUUCUAAGCAGGCUCCGCAACCAGCAAGACAAAAGGAUUUUUAAGAAAGCAAGGGAAGGGAAGCUAGUUGAGUCCUGAGAAAGAACAAAUUGGGGGCUAUAAAGAAGUAUCCGUUUGGUAUUUUUUUUUUUUUUUUUUUUGAGACAAAGUUUUCUCUCAUGUUUCCCAGGCUGGAGUGCAGUGGAACCAUGUCGGCUCACUGCAACCUUCGCCUCCCAGGUUCUCUCCUGUCUCAGCCUCCUGAGUAGCUGGGAUUACAGUCAUGCGCCUCCACGCCCGGCUACUUUUGUAUUUUUUGUAGAGACGGGGUUUCACCAUGUUGACCAGGCUGGUCUCGAACUCCUGACCUCAGGUGAUCCGCCCACCUCGGCCUCCCAAAGCGCCUGUCCUCGUUCCUUAAGUGUUUUGUUCAAAACCUCUCCAAGACCUGUCUCUCCCUGUACCCCAUCCCCAAGCCAGACCUUGCUCUAGAUUCUUUUUCAAAGAAUUGGGUAUAGCUAUGUCACAGAAAAGCAUCCAAGAAGCAACUACUACAGUAGUCCAUUCCUAGGGGGAAUGGGCCCCAAGGUUUUGUUUUUUUAUUUCGUUUUAGGGGUACAGGUGGUGUUUGGUUACAUGGAUGAGUUCUUUAGUGAUUUCUGCGACUUUAGUGCACCCAUCACCCAAGCAGUGUACACUGUACCCAAUAUGUAGUCUUUCAUCCCUCACCCCACUCCAAGAUUUAGUUCUGCCAGACGAUACAUGUUGCCUUCACUUCUUUUUAGUUUAUUUGCCUGGACCCAUCUAAGUCAUACUUAAAA